UCUGUCUCUGGGAUCUGGUGAGUCUCCUCUCUCUCUGGGAUCUGUAAACCCAGAUGCUACGCAUCCUCAGUCUCAUCUUCUGCUGAGCUCUGCUGCUUCCUUGAACUGUCCGGAGGAGUGAAUGUGUGCUAUGCAUUCCAGACCGGUGCCGGGAGAAGGCUGUCUCCCACCCAGAAGCACCAACCAAGGUCUCACCAUCCAAGGCAGGAGAGGACCUGCUGGGAAGGAAGCAAGCCUGGGCUGGCGUUGAAAGAGGCAGCUCCCCUCCCUGUGCCCAGUGCUGAGAGUGGUUGGGAGACCCUCUCUCUCCAUCCCGUCCCCCCGACUGAGCUCCCAUUCCUGGGGAUCUCUCAGCAACUCUCAGCAUCCUUAGCCAAGUACAGUUCCAGACUUUUUGGAGGAAGCCAGGACUCUUGGUUGUGGCCUGAUCCUGCUAUGAAGAUGCAGCUCCGGUUGGGUCCCCGGAUUUCCUAGCACCUCAUUAGCACAGGCAGAACUUGGCAGAAGACCAAAGGGUUCCUUCCAAUCUCUUAGAGACUUCCUGAGAGCACAGAUGGAUGAGCAAGACUCAGCCGGCCCUGG
Molecule: non-coding RNA, 582 nt
Organism: Podarcis muralis (Common wall lizard)
Lineage: Eukaryota; Metazoa; Chordata; Lepidosauria; Squamata; Lacertidae
Source: RefSeq, a predicted model, not a curated record